Long non-coding RNA from Vanessa tameamea, 250 nucleotides. RefSeq lists it as uncharacterized. Lineage: Eukaryota; Metazoa; Arthropoda; Insecta; Lepidoptera; Nymphalidae. The transcript is spliced from 2 exons. The record is from RefSeq and is a predicted model, not a curated record.
UUUCGCUUGCGUUAACGUUGGUUAACAAACGUGUUAAGAGAUUUUGAGUGUUUUCGUUUAGUACUAUAGUAUAUUUUAUUGUUAAUAGUGCUUUAGUUGGUAGUUGGGUUAAGUGGUGUUAUUAAUAUUUGUAAAUCUUGUAAGUUAAGGAUUAACAAGGAAAUACUACUAUGCUAGUCUUCAAAAUUUAAUUGAGUUUGUUUCCUCAACCGUACCGAUCAAUCUCUUUCGUGUCUUCUCCGUCCUACGU